Molecule: long non-coding RNA, 4685 nt
Organism: Brassica rapa (field mustard)
Lineage: Eukaryota; Viridiplantae; Streptophyta; Magnoliopsida; Brassicales; Brassicaceae
Source: RefSeq, a predicted model, not a curated record
ACCAGACGACUGAAAUGUAAGUCGUUCGGGAAAGUCAAACUUUUGAAAUAAUCUAGUCAAAUGCAAAACUAACUUAUGACCACUGAAAUGUAAGUCGUCUAGGUUCUUUGGUGAUUUUUUUGUAACUACACAAAAUGAGACGACUUAACUUUCAGUCGUCUCAGAAAACAGAUUUCAAAGUCAAUUGCAAAAAUAACCUCUGCGUUGACCAGACGACUUCCAGGUAGGUCGUCUACUGCCAGACAACUUUCCAUGUAAGUUGUCUGACGAACAGAUCUGGAAAAAAAUUCGAUUUCAUACUUAAAUUGGUGAGAUAACUUCCUUAGCACACAUAAGGCUUCUCCAAGCACACAGAAUCUUAAACGAAAGUGACCCACCCAUAAUCGUUAGCUUCUAUGACUUUAUAAACCAUAAAAAAUGUAAAAUCAAAAUCUUGGGUUUUUUUAAGCUCAAUGUGGAGAGAAAGUGAGAGAUAUGAUGUGUUUAGUUCAUAAGAAUGGCAGACAAACGCCAAAGCUCCGUUGCAGACAAACGCCAAAGCUCUUUCCAAAAAUUACUAAUUAAGAUUGGAUCGCGAUCACUUACAAUGGUUUUAGGAAUGCCAUGAUGUUUCACUAUCACUUCAAGGAACUUAGCUGCGAUUCCUUUUGUUGUAUAAGGGUGCGUUAGAGGUACCUAGUGAGCAGCUUUUGAGAGUUGAUGAACCACAACCAUGAUGGACGUGUGAUUAUCGGAACCGGGCAGUCCAUCGAUGAAAUCCGUUGAAAACUCCUCCCAGAGUUGGUUCGGAAUGGGAAGUGGUUGUAGGAGUCCUUUUGGUGCCAAACUCUCAGACUUCACACGUUGGCAGACAUCACACCGAGCCGCAAAUCCACUGACCAACUUGUGCAUUGCCGGCCAAUAGUACUGCUGGUGAUAAUCGUUUGAGAGUCUGGAGUGUACAUGAAUGUCCACCCAUUGGUGUGUUGUGGUAUUUUCGAAGAAGAGACUGGAUCAAUGGAGAGCUUGGUGGAAUAACUAGACGAUUAUGGUAGUGAACGAGACCAUUGCGCUUCAUGUAUGGUGCUCCGGGUUUCUCAUCAGCCUGCUUGCCAAUCUUAAGGAGAUAUGGAUCUGUUGAUGGCUGCUCGCGAAUAUCUCCCCAAAAAUAUGUCUGUUGAGUGUAGAUGGCAUUGAGGCACGGGCUGUUAGCACGACUAGAGAGUGCAUCAGCUGUGGCUUUCAUCGAGCCUGGUUUGUAUGUGAUUUCAUAGUCAUAACCCACAAGCUUGCCCAUCCAUUUUUGCUGUUCUGGUGUCAUAAUGCGUUGCUCAAGUAGAUACCGCAAGCUUCGUUGAUCCGUUUGUAUCGUGAAGCGAUGCCAAAGGAGAUAUGGUUGCCACGUACGAGCAAUGACAAUGGCAAGCAUUUCUCGAGCAUAGGGUUACCAGCUCUGUUUCGCAACACCCAGAGAUCGACCCAUAUAUGUGAUUGGUUUGCCGUGUUGCAUGAGAACAGCACCAAUGCCAUCUCCCGAAACGACGCCCAAGGAGAUAUGGUUGCCACGUACGAACAAUGACAAUGGCAAGCAUUUCUCGAGCAUAGGGUUACCAGCUCUAUUUCGCAACACCCAAAGAUCGACCCAUAUAUGUGAUUGGUUUGCCGUGUUGCAUGAGAAAAGCACCAAUGCCAUCUCCCGAAGCGUCUGUCUGAAUGGUAAAUGGGCUGGAGAAAUCUGGUAAGGCCAGUGUCGGAGUUGUUGUCAUCACAAUUUUCAAGGCAUUGAAAUUUCAUCAGCAGGAACAGGCCACUCGAACUUCCCCUUUUUAGUAGAUUGGUAAGUGGCUUGGCGAUCAGACCGUAGUCCUUAACAAACUUUUGGUAGUAACCGGUGAGGCCAAGGAACCCACGUAAUUCUGUGAUGUUGGUUGGAGGUGGCCAGUCUAACAUUGCUGUGAUGUUGGUACCAACGACUUUAACUCCUUCUCCUGAGAUCACAUGUCCAAGGUAGUCAACCUCUGACUGACCAAACACACACUUUUUCUUCUUGACGAACAACUUUUGUUCUUGUAAUAUUGUGAAGACCAGUCUGACGUGUUCAAUAUGGUCCUCCCACGAGCGACUGUAGAUCAAAAUGUCAUCGAAGAAAACAAGAACAAAUUUACGAAGGUGGUGCCAAAAUACCGAGUUCAUCAAUGCCUGAAACGUAGAGGGAGCAUUGGAAAUACCAAAUGGAAUAACCAGGUAUUCGUAGUGGUACCAUUAUGAGUGCGAAAUGCGGUUUUGUGAACAUCGUCUGGAUGAACUCUGACCUGGUGGUAACUGUCGGUGAGGUCGAGCUUCGUGAAGACUGUCGCACCGUGUAGCUCAACCAGAAUAUCGUCAACAGUCAGGAUUGGAAAUCGAUCCUUAAUCAUGACUGCAUUCAAAGCUCGAUAAUCUGUGCAAAACCGUCAAGAUCCGUCCUUUUUCUUCACUAGCAAUACCAUAGAUGAGAAUGGACUGGAGCGAGGUUGAAUAAUACCGGUGUUUAUCAUGGCAUGUACUUGUCGUUCAAUUUCUUCUUUCUAGUAGUGAGCAUACCGAUAUGGUCUCACAUUCACCGGUCGUCUCCUUCUCACAAGGUGAUGUGGUGCUCGAUAUCACAGGAUGGAGGCAACUGAUCAGGUUUGGUGUCAAAUUUUUCCAUCAGUGGCUGAAGCUUCGCAGGGAUUUCGAAAACGGUGUCGUCUCUGUGUGGUAUGGAGAUUGCAAAGCAGGCCUGGCCCAAUUUGAUGUCUUGGAUGAUCUCUUCCGUUUGGGCCUGUGAGAUUGAGCUCCCUUGAAGCCCAUGAAUAAUUUGGUGUUGUCCGGCCCACGAGAAGCUCAUCGUAUGUGCUGUCCAGUCGCACAACGCCGGUCCCAACUGCAGUAACCAUUGCCUUCCUAGAAUGAGAUCUUGACCUUUAAUGGGUAAAGGAAAGAAAUCAAUCCAGAACUGAACUCCAUCAUUGGUUGUAUGCAUAUCUUUGUAAAUACCGGUGUAUCGAAUAGGAUGUCCAUCCGCUGACAUGGAACAGCUUGGCGGGUGAAAGCUUGAGAUUCAGGCGGCUGGCGACCUUAUCAGUGACAAAAUUGUGGGUUGAUCCACUGUCGAUCAAGGCCACUAGCUUCUAUUGGUGUAUCUCAGCAUGGGUGCGUAUGGUUUUCGGCGAUCCCCAACCGGUUAAAGCCUGCAGCGUGAUUUCAGGUUCUUCAGCUGUUCCCCCCGUCAUCAUCAUCCUCACUCUCUGAAUCACCGAUCCCUUGGAUCAAGAGUAGUUGUGACUUUUGGCAACGAUGGUCCGGUGUGUACUUCUACUCGCAGCUGAAACAGUAUAUGAGACUCCUCUUUCGCUUCAUUUCGUCCCAACUCAGUCGUUUAGGGUUUCCGUUGUUACCGUUCUUAUUCGGUGGAUUUGGUGCCGGUGGUAUUGGUGAAGGGUUUCGCUGAGUUCUGUUAGCGAAACCAGUGAAUCGUCACUGCCGCUGCAACUGCUCAUCUUUUAUCCUUGCGAGCUCGAUCUUGGCUUUCAGCGUUUUUGGUUGAAACACACAAAUGCUGUCAGAUAUAGUAUCCUUGAGGCCACCAACAUACGUCCAAUCAAUGCCUUUUGUGUCCAUCCGACACCGUGUUCUGUAACCUCUCAAACUCCCAUUGAUACUCUCUCAACGUUCCGGUCUGCCGUAUUUUGGAAAGUGCUUCGCUGAAAUCUUCUGCAGCAAUUGGUCCGAAACGAGCCCACAAUUCCACCUCAAACACUUCCCAGGUGAUUGGUGUCUGAUCUUCAUUAAGAGCCUUGGUGGUUGCCUGCCACAAUUCAUUAGAUUCAUCAUUCAGGUGAUAUGAACCAAAGCUAACUCUCUGGUCAUAUGGCAUGUCCAGAUAACAGAAGUACUGGUUUGCCUUGCUGAGCCAAGCUGUAAGAACUUAGGGAACUCCAACUUGAAUGUCGAGAUGUGGUGACUGGCACAAAGGGGUUCGUGUGCUCCCUCUGGACAGAUGCCGACGGUUGGCUCCCUUCGGAUCUGCGACUGGCUUGUGGUGCACUGGAACUUCCUUCACGGAUGCUCGAGACAGCCUCGGACAGCAUAUGUUUAUACGAUUCUUCCAUGCUCCGGAUCCCUUUGUUGAUUUGAGAAAUCUCAUCUUGCAUCAUGCCAACGGCAGUUUCAAGAUCUGAUACCCUCUCUUUGUUGCUGCCCAUGACUGUACUACACGGUGGUCUUGAAGGUGUAUCAUACACAAAGCUUCCUUCUUACCGCCGAUGCUAAUCAGUCGCCACUAAGACCCGUUCACCUUCCUAUACAUGGUAUAAAAUCCUUAUGGGCCUGGACGUGGGACUGAUCACUAGGUGUGCGUCUUAAAAGCGGAGUUAAGUAAGCAGGCUGGUGAGAACAGGAGGAAGAGGAUGGAGUUGAAAUUGUUUAAACAACUUUACAAAGAAUUAGCGACCAGUCGGUCUUGUGUGUUUAUUAAAGAAAUAGAUUUUGUACGGUUCGAUCAUGAUUAGUAUGUCAAUCUAGUUGACUGAAAAAGGACAGACACAACAGAAGAUGAUAUUAACAUACAUAAUAAAACAACGACAAAUUACAAAAGCGUUCGUUAGCUAAUUAGAGUUUUUUAGUUUAAGGCAAAUAUCACAUCACAUGUAUACUUCCAUCCCCAGAAACUUGGAAGAUUGACA